RNAcentral lists this ribosomal RNA (580 nucleotides) under uncultured rumen bacterium. RNAcentral's name for it is "bacterial SSU rRNA". It matches the Rfam family "Bacterial small subunit ribosomal RNA", at positions 192 to 787 of the family's 1533-position model. The record is from RNAcentral.
CUCGGGAUACCAAAGGAGCAAUCCGCUGAAAGAUGGGCUCAUAUCUGAUUAGCUAGUUGGUGGGGUAACGGCCUACCAAGGCUGCGAUCAGUAGCCGGACUGAGAGGUUGAACGGCCACAUUGGGACUGAGAUACGGCCCAGACUCCUACGGGAGGCAGCAGUGGGGAAUAUUGGGCAAUGGGCGAAAGCCUGACCCAGCAACGCCGCGUGAAGGAAGAAGGUCUUCGGAUUGUAAACUUCUUUUAUGAGGGACGAAGGACGUGACGGUACCUCAUGAAUAAGCCACGGCUAACUACGUGCCAGCAGCCGCGGUAAUACGUAGGUGGCAAGCGUUAUCCGGAUUUACUGGGUGUAAAGGGCGCGUAGGCGGGGAUGCAAGUCAGAUGUGAAAUCUAUGGGCUUAACUCAUAAACUGCAUUUGAAACUGUGUCUCUUGAGUGCUGGAGAGGUAGACGGAAUUCCUUGUGUAGCGGUGAAAUGCGUAGAUAUAAGGAAGAACACCAGUGGCGAAGGCGGUCUACUGGACAGUAACUGACGCUGAGGCGCGAAAGCGUGGGGAGCAAACAGGAUUAGAUACCC